GGUAGACAAGAUUAUACUAUACAACAGGUAGAUUAAAGAUAUAGGUAGACUAGAUUAUACUAUACAACAGGUAGAUUAAAGAUAUAGGUAGACAAGAUUAUACUAUACAACAGGUAGAUUUAAGAUAUAGGUAGACUAGAUUAUACUAUACAACAGGUAGAUCAAAGAUAUAAGUAGACAAGAUUACACUAUACAACAGGUAAAGAUAUAGGUAGACUAGUUUAUACUAUACAACAGGUAAAGAUAUAGGUAGACAAGAUUAUACUAUACAACAGGUAGAUCAAAGAUAUAAGUAGACAAGAUUACACUAUACAACAGGUAAAGAUAUAGGUAGACUAGAUUAUACUAUACAACAGGUAGAUCAAAGAUAUAAGUAGACAAGAUUACACUAUACAACAGGUAAAGAUAUAGGUAGACUAGUUUAUACUAUACAACAGGUAAAGAUAUAGGUAGACAAGAUUAUACUUUACAACAGGUAGAUCAAAGAUAAAGGUAGACAAGAUUAUACUAUACAACAGGUAGAUUAAAGAUAAAGGUAGACAAGAUUAUACUAUACAACAGGU
Molecule: long non-coding RNA, 563 nt
Organism: Biomphalaria glabrata
Lineage: Eukaryota; Metazoa; Mollusca; Gastropoda; Planorbidae
Exons: 3
Source: RefSeq, a predicted model, not a curated record